This 348-nucleotide ribosomal RNA is filed under the name Triticum aestivum (bread wheat). RNAcentral describes it as "partial small subunit ribosomal RNA". Lineage: Eukaryota; Viridiplantae; Streptophyta; Magnoliopsida; Poales; Poaceae. The record is from RNAcentral.
AUGAACAAUCUGCCGGCUGCACGUACGCGCUGGCUACCUCCAGCUAACUAUGAUGCCAAGCUGAAUGUGGACGGAGGCAUCUCCAGGAGUGGCACCCGUGGUGCAGCAGCGGUAGUCUGCCGGGACAAGCAUGGAAAGUACCUUGGGGCCUCCGCAAUCAUCUACGACGGCCUCGUCGACCCGGCGACGUUAGAAGCUCAAGCUUGUAAUGAAGCCUUGGCCCUUGCCACUGAUCUGCAUAUUGAUUAUAUCUGUAUUGCUUCUGAUUGUGCCGAAGUUGUCACGAACAUUGAGAAGGGGGCUCUUUGCCACUAUGCUGCCAUCUUACAAGAGAUAAAUCACCAUUGA